UAGGGAAUCUUCGGCAAUGGACGAAAGUCUGACCGAGCAACGCCGCGUGAGUGAAGAAGGUUUUCGGAUCGUAAAACUCUGUUGUUAGAGAAGAACAAGGACGUUAGUAACUGAACGUCCCCUGACGGUAUCUAACCAGAAAGCCACGGCUAACUACGUGCCAGCAGCCGCGGUAAUACGUAGGUGGCAAGCGUUGUCCGGAUUUAUUGGGCGUAAAGCGAGCGCAGGCGGUUUCUUAAGUCUGAUGUGAAAGCCCCCGGCUCAACCGGGGAGGGUCAUUGGAAACUGGGAGACUUGAGUGCAGAAGAGGAGAGUGGAAGUCCAUGUGUAGCGGUGAAAUGCGUAGAUAUAUGGAGGAACACCAGUGGCGAAGGCGGCUCUCUGGUCUGUAACUGACGCUGAGGCUCGAAAGCGUGGGGAGCAAACAGG
RNAcentral lists this ribosomal RNA (429 nucleotides) under bacterium. RNAcentral describes it as "partial 16S ribosomal RNA". It matches the Rfam family "Bacterial small subunit ribosomal RNA", at positions 355 to 776 of the family's 1533-position model. RNAcentral also lists the same sequence under 2 other names. The record is from RNAcentral.